UACGUAGGGGGCUAGCGUUGUCCGGAUGUAUUGGGCGUAAAGAGCGUGUAGGCGGCCACUUAAGUCCUGCGUGAAAUCUUGCGGCUCAACCGCAAGCGGUCGUGGGAAACUGGGUGGCUAGAGUGCGGGAGAGGAGAGUGGAAUUCCUGGUGUAGCGGUGGAAUGCGCAGAUAUCAGGAAGAACACCCGUGGCGAAGGCGGCUCUCUGGAACGCAACUGACGCUGAGACGCGAAAGCGUGGGGAGCAAACAGG
RNAcentral lists this ribosomal RNA (253 nucleotides) under uncultured bacterium. RNAcentral's name for it is "partial 16S ribosomal RNA". It matches the Rfam family "Bacterial small subunit ribosomal RNA", at positions 524 to 776 of the family's 1533-position model. The record is from RNAcentral.